Long non-coding RNA from Rhagoletis pomonella (apple maggot), 858 nucleotides. RefSeq lists it as uncharacterized. The record is from RefSeq and is a predicted model, not a curated record. The transcript is spliced from 4 exons. Lineage: Eukaryota; Metazoa; Arthropoda; Insecta; Diptera; Tephritidae.
AUUGCAAAAAUAUUUAUUUAUACAUAUAUUGCAGUUGACGUCAUGCUCGUCUUGCACGCCACAUUGGUUGGCUGGUUGGUUGCGCUGCAUUAAUAGCGAAAAUUACAAAAAUAAAUUUGCAACAAAGUAAGAAAAAAAUAUAUGUAUGCGCAUACCAAAUGCAUAAGAAAGAUCGAAAAUUUGAAGCCGCAACCAAAACUUUCAUUGCAAUUGUGGCGCGCCGCCUGUCAACGUCAUUCAUUAAAGGCAAACCGAGCCGGAGCAGAAGAUGGAAACAAUGGGAGUGCAGAGCAACGAACAUCUUCAAGGGGCAAUCGAGUUGCAAUGGCUGCGAAGACAUCAGCAAGUGAGCAGAUGCGCUGCACUUUUAAAGAUCUACGCAAUGCAUAGACUAAGCGAGCGAACGAGAAGAAAAUCGACUGAAAAUUCUGGCUAAAAAUACAUCAGCGCGCGCACUGACAAAGGUUUGGAGCAGAAGAGGAAAUAUUUGGCCAUUAAGUGUGACGAAGAAAAUACACUGCUGCCAGCGGACAUGGCAGGAGGCAGUUCCCUAAGCGGCUACGUUGAUAGACAACUUACAUAUGAAGUGCAUUUGCAUUAAGUCGGCUAAAAAGGGAUAAAAGUCGGUGGAGAGAGCGGCGAGGUGCAAAAAGAGGAAACUAUUUGUUGUGUGGAAUAGACAGGGCGCGCUAGUGGAGGCACUAUAGCCAAGUAACUAAUUGUUGCGAAUCGAUAAAAGUGAUUGCAAGCAGAGUUAAAAUUUUGCAAUGCUCUUUGGCUGCGGUUUAAUUUAAAGCCUUUUACUGUUUGUAUGUUUGUUUUAACUAAUUGAGAAUUGAGAAAAUGAAAUAAAUUUAU